Molecule: long non-coding RNA, 293 nt
Filed under: Elaeis guineensis (African oil palm)
Lineage: Eukaryota; Viridiplantae; Streptophyta; Magnoliopsida; Arecales; Arecaceae
Description: long non-coding RNA (EGUI_LNC050376)
Source: RNAcentral
AUCAUCUAUCUUAUAUAAGAUUUAAUCAGCUCAAGUUCAAAUUGUGAAAUCUCAUAAAUUUUUUUUUUCAUAAUUCACUAUGUUAUGACCACGAUCUUAUGAACUCGACUUCAUAAAUCACAUAGGAUUACUUUUUAACUACUAAGAUCGAUAGAUCUCUUCUAAAUGUGCACUCUACUCCUACAGCAAACCUACUAUAGCCAAUAUACAUAGUGAGGAUCCAAAUGACUAGGAGAUCAAAUUUAUAUACAGUCAAACUAUAGCAAUCUUAUCAUGAGUAGUCAAGGCACCAC